AGUUUGAUCCUGGCUCAGAACGAACGCUGGCGGCAGGCUUAACACAUGCAAGUCGAACGCAUCGCAAGAUGAGUGGCAGACGGGUGAGUAACGCGUGGGAAUCUACCGUGCCCUGCGGAAUAGCUCCGGGAAACUGGAAUUAAUACCGCAUACGCCCUACGGGGGAAAGAUUUAUCGGGGAUGGAUGAGCCCGCGUUGGAUUAGCUAGUUGGUGGGGUAAAGGCCUACCAAGGCGACGAUCCAUAGCUGGUCUGAGAGGAUGAUCAGCCACAUUGGGACUGAGACACGGCCCAAACUCCUACGGGAGGCAGCAGUGGGGAAUAUUGGACAAUGGGCGCAAGCCUGAUCCAGCCAUGCCGCGUGAGUGAUGAAGGCCUUAGGGUUGUAAAGCUCUUUCACCGGAGAAGAUAAUGACGGUAUCCGGAGAAGAAGCCCCGGCUAACUUCGUGCCAGCAGCCGCGGUAA
Molecule: ribosomal RNA, 465 nt
Filed under: uncultured bacterium
Lineage: Bacteria
Description: bacterial SSU rRNA
Rfam family: Bacterial small subunit ribosomal RNA
Source: RNAcentral